AGAGUUUGAUCCUGGCUCAGAUUGGACGCUAGCGGGAUGCUUUACACAUGCAAGUCGGACGGCAGCACGAAGAGCUUGCUCUUUGGUGGCGAGUGGCGAACGGGUGAGUAAUGUAUCGGAACGUGCCCAGUAGCGGGGGAUAACUACGCGAAAGCGUGGCUAAUACCGCAUACGCCCUACGGGGGAAAGGGGGGGAUCGCAAGACCUCUCACUAUUGGAGCGGCCGAUAUCGGAUUAGCUAGUUGGUGGGGUAAAGGCCUACCAAGGCGACGAUCCGUAGCUGGUUUGAGAGGACGACCAGCCACACUGGGACUGAGACACGGCCCAGACUCCUACGGGAGGCAGCAGUGGGGAAUUUUGGACAAUGGGGGCAACCCUGAUCCAGCCAUCCCGCGUGUGCGAUGAAGGCCUUCGGGUUGUAAAGCACUUUUGGCAGGGAAGAAACAGUUCGGGUUAAUAACC
This 462-nucleotide ribosomal RNA is filed under the name uncultured bacterium. Its description in RNAcentral is "bacterial SSU rRNA". It matches the Rfam family "Bacterial small subunit ribosomal RNA", at positions 8 to 468 of the family's 1533-position model. The record is from RNAcentral.